This 253-nucleotide ribosomal RNA is filed under the name uncultured bacterium. Its description in RNAcentral is "partial 16S ribosomal RNA". It matches the Rfam family "Bacterial small subunit ribosomal RNA", at positions 524 to 776 of the family's 1533-position model. The record is from RNAcentral.
UACGGGGGGGGCGAGCGUUGUUCGGAAUUACUGGGCGUAAAGGGCUCGUAGGUGGCCAACUAAGUCAGACGUGAAAUCCCUCGGCUUAACCGGGGAACUGCGUCUGAUACUGGAUGGCUUGAGUUUGGGAGAGGGACGCGGAAUUCCAGGUGUAGCGGUGAAAUGCGUAGAUAUCUGGAGGAACACCGGUGGCGAAGGCGGCGUCCUGGACCAACACUGACACUGAGGAGCGAAAGCCAGGGGAGCAAACGGG